UACGGAGGGUGCGAGCGUUAAUCGGAAUUACUGGGCGUAAAGCGUGCGUAGGUGGUUUGUUAAGUCUGUUGUGAAAGCCCCGGGCUCAACCUGGGAAUGGCAAUGGAUACUGGCAGGCUAGAGUGCGGUAGAGGGUAGUGGAAUUCCCGGUGUAGCGGUGAAAUGCGUAGAGAUCGGGAGGAACACCAGUGGCGAAGACGGGGUUGCUGGGCCGACACUGACGCUGACAGCGCGAAAGCCAGGGGAGCAAACGGG
This 255-nucleotide ribosomal RNA is filed under the name uncultured bacterium. Its description in RNAcentral is "partial 16S ribosomal RNA". It matches the Rfam family "Bacterial small subunit ribosomal RNA", at positions 524 to 776 of the family's 1533-position model. The record is from RNAcentral.